This 376-nucleotide unclassified non-coding RNA is filed under the name uncultured Rickettsiales bacterium. RNAcentral's name for it is "contains 16S-23S intergenic spacer region". The record is from RNAcentral. Lineage: Bacteria; Pseudomonadati; Pseudomonadota; Alphaproteobacteria; Rickettsiales.
UCCAGCUUAUCACUGGCAGUUUCCUUAGAGUUCCCGGCCUAACCGCUGGCAACUAAGGAUGAGGGUUGCGCUCGUUGCGGGACUUAACCCAACAUCUCACGACACGAGCUGACGACGGCCAUGCAACACCUGUGUGUGAUCCGGCCGAACCGAAGGAUCUAUCUCUAGAUCCGGUGAUCACCAUGUCAAAAGUUGGUAAGGUUUUUCGCGUGACAUCGAAUUAAACCGCAUGCUCCACCGCUUGUGCGGGCCCCCGUCAAUUCCUUUGAGUUUUAAUCUUGCGACCUUACUCCCCAGGCGGAGUGCUUAACGCGUUAGCUGCGACACCGAAAACAAGUCCCGAUAUCUAGCACUCAUCGUUUACAGCGUGGACUAC